This is a non-coding RNA of Musa acuminata subsp. malaccensis (wild Malaysian banana), 2953 nucleotides long. NCBI's taxonomy places the organism in Eukaryota, Viridiplantae, Streptophyta, Magnoliopsida, Zingiberales, Musaceae. The record is from RefSeq and is a predicted model, not a curated record.
ACUGGCCGUCUGUACUUUUUACUGGCAAAAAAGAAAAGAAAAGAAAAGAAAAGGGCGAACUGGCAAAAAAUGAAGUGUUGGUUCACAUGCUCACAGGAACCGACUACAAUCGAGCAAUUCCAAUGAAUCUUUUUUAGGCUUCCUCUGCGAUCGCGAGUAAAAUAAUGUCAACCGCCAGUCUCUCGCCAACCCUUGGAACUCCGCGACAUGAUCGUUUCGAGGGACAACCACUGUAAAGAUCCUCCUCCUCAUCGGGGGUCUCAUUUCCUCUGUGGUGCUUCCGAGCACUGCUCUCUACUUGGAACAUCUGAUUGAUACGUGACCGACUCCCGAACAAACCAUGAUGAAAUUUGAAUUCAAACACGACCAGAUAGGAGCUUGUUAUCUUCCGUUGGAAGUCUCCAGAAAAAUCUGGCACCCAGAUCAGAUCACGUCGAGAAGGGACGAGGAGAUCGAAGGGCGUCCGUCCAUUUUGGUGUACUCGAUCGUCACCCGCAGCCUCUGCUUACUUACGAUUCAUUCUCAUUCUCCCUCCUCACAACUCAACAAGUGGCGUCCAUCACCGUGCGACGCUCGCUCUCUCUCUCUCCUCGUCGGUGAUAUCCGCGUCCAACAAAAUCCGCAACGGAGUCCUCCAGAAAAGGCGUCCGCAUCCCUAUUUAUUACGAACCCCCGUGACCCUGGCGACUUUGACUUCCCUGCGACCUCACAUUCGCUCGCCGAUCCUCCCUCCCUAACUGCACCGACGCCGGCUUUGCCACAAUCCCAAGCCAGCCGUCGAGACAGUGAGGCCGGUAAGAGGGGCGAGUCUAAUCAUCACCUUCCGAAUCUUCGCUUUCACUGAGACCAGUGGAGGAGGGAGGAGGAGGAGGAGGAAGAGAGAGAGGCCGUUGUCCUGUUCGCUAGGGAGAUUUAUAGUGAAUUAGUAGGGGGUGGCGUGGGGACGACAGCUUGUUGGAUGCUUCUGCUCUCAUCUUUAUCUUCUUCCGUUUAGAAUCAAUCUACUUCUCCGUUUUCAAGCCCAUUAGUCGAUUUGGUUCUUGGAAGCCAAGGCGUAGGCGUUGGAUCCAAAUCUCUCGUCUUAUUCUUCAUUCUUCUCCACUUCGCCAUCCGAUAACCAAGGGUAGAAUCGAAGUGUGAUGAUGGAUAGCCUGCCGGCCACCCCGGGCAAGUUCAAGAUGGACAAGCCCCAGUAUCACCAUCACCACCACCACCACCCGCGUCAGCUCACCGUCCGGUGGCAUCACUACCCGCUCGUCUCCAAGGUCGCAGUCUGGUCUUUCCUCGCCAUCGCCCUCCUAGUCGCCUUCUUCUUCCUCUCACCCACCACCCCCAACUCCUCCUCCACCUCUGGGCGUCGCUCCCUCCGUAACGCCGCCCCGUGGGGCGGCCCCGCCUGGGAGAAGUGCGUGCGCUCCUCCGCCCGCGUCCGCCGCUCCGGCGGCAUCUCCGUCCUCGUCACUGGCGCCGCCGGCUUCGUGGGUACCCACGUCUCUACCGCGCUCAAGCGCCGCGGCGACGGCGUCCUUGGGCUCGACAACUUCAACGACUACUACGACCCCUCCCUCAAGCGCGCCCGCCAGGCCCUCCUCGACCGCGCGGGUGUCUUCGUCGUCGAGGGCGACGUCAACGACGGCCCUCUCCUCCACAAGCUGUUCGACGUGGUGCCCUUCACCCAUGUGAUGCACCUGGCCGCGCAGGCCGGCGUCCGUUACGCCAUGACCAAUCCGUCCUCCUACGUCCACUCCAAUGUCGCCGGGCUCGUGUCGGUGCUCGAGGUCGCCAAGUCAGCGGACCCGCAGCCCGCCGUUGUUUGGGCUUCGUCGUCUUCCGUCUACGGCCUCAACUCCCACGUGCCCUUCUCGGAGGUUGACCGCACUGACCGGCCGGCCUCCCUCUACGCCGCCACCAAGAAGGCAGGCGAGGAAAUCGCCCAUGUCUACAACCACAUUUAUGGACUCGCCAUCACCGGCCUCCGCUUCUUCACUGUCUACGGCCCCUGGGGGCGCCCCGACAUGGCCUACUUCUUCUUCACGAGAGACAUCCUCCGCAGCAAGCCGAUUUCCAUCUUUGAAGGCCCAGGUCAUGCCACCGUUGCCCGUGAUUUUACCUACAUUGAUGACAUCGUGAGCGGUUGUCUUGCGGCUCUCGACAAUGCUGGGAAGAGCACCGGUAGCGGCGGCAAGAAGCGGGGGUCUGCGCCGCUCCGCGUCUACAACCUCGGCAAUACGUCCCCAGUCCCCGUGUCUCAUCUCGUGUCUAUCCUGGAGCAACUCUUAAAGGUCAAGGCCGUCCGCAAUGUCGUCAAAAUGCCACGGAAUGGGGAUGUACAGUUUACUCAUGCCAACAUCAGCCUUGCGCAGCGGGAGCUCGGGUAUCAUCCGACCACCGGUCUGAACACUGGCCUCAAGAAGUUCGUCCGGUGGUACCUUGGGUACUACCCUACUUCCUCGAGUAAAAAGGGAUCAAGAGGUGGCAGCAGCAGUGCUCUCUAGCCAGGGAAGGAUGUUGGUGGCAGUUGGUGAUAUUUUCUGCUACUUCCUCAGAUGAACCAUCCGUGCCCAUGACUGCAGGGAGAAUAUGUAUCCAUCAUGGUCAUGAUGCGACAUUGAUGUGCUACUCUCUGUGCAGAUGAACCAUUCGUGCCCGUAUGGCUCAUCCAGCAAUGAAAGUAGGUGAGAUGGUUGGUGUUUUUAUUUUUUAUAAAAUGUUUUGCUUCGUUUUUUUUUAUAGAAAUAAUAAGUGAUGAAGAUAAGAUCUGAUUCCACUGUUGAGACCAAAUUGUUAGGACUUGAACUGAGAAGGAUUAUUCUUUGAGCUUACAAAGAAGAAGACCUUGAGGGGAUUUGGCAAUUCAUUAACAGAUUUUGCCUCCACUAACAAGAUCGUAUUCUAACAUAUUGUUUCAGGCCUUCGGAAAUUGAGAAUUUGAUUAGUGGACAUAAAUCAUGAG